UGACCCACAAAACGGGAU
Molecule: ribosomal RNA, 18 nt
Filed under: uncultured Russulaceae
Lineage: Eukaryota; Fungi; Basidiomycota; Agaricomycetes; Russulales; Russulaceae
Description: partial 28S ribosomal RNA
Source: RNAcentral